AACGAACGCUGGCGGCAUGCCUAACACAUGCAAGUCGAACGAGGCCGUCGGGCCUGGUGGGUCACGGGUGCGUAACGCGGUGGAACCUACCCUUAUAUUCGGAAUAACUCCCCGGGAUAGGUGCUAAUAACGGAUAAUAUCUUCGGACAUACGGUUUAUCGCCUUUGGAUGGGCUCGCGUGGGAUUAGCUAGUUGGUAGGGUAAAAGCCUACCAAGGCGCCGAUCCAUAGCUGGUCUGAGAGGAUGAUCAGCCACACUGGGACUGAGACACGGCCCAGACUCGUACGGGAUGCAGCAGUGGGGAAUAUCGGACGAUGGGCGAAAGCGUGAUCGAGCAAUGCCGCGGGAGUGAUGAAGGCCUUAGGGUUGUAAAGCUCUUUUACCCGGGAUGAUAAUGACAGUACCGGGAGAAUAAGCGCCGGCUAACUACGUG
This 433-nucleotide ribosomal RNA is filed under the name uncultured bacterium. RNAcentral's name for it is "partial 16S ribosomal RNA". It matches the Rfam family "Bacterial small subunit ribosomal RNA", at positions 29 to 507 of the family's 1533-position model. The record is from RNAcentral.